AUGAACGCUAGCGGCAGGCUUAACACAUGCAAGUCGAGGGGUAUAUGUCUUCGGAUAUAGAGACCGGCGCACGGGUGCGUAACGCGUAUGCAAUCUACCUUUUACAGGGGAAUAGCCCAGAGAAAUUUGGAUUAAUGCCCCAUAGUAUUAUAGAAUGGCAUCAUUUUAUAAUUAAAGUCACAACGGUAAAAGAUGAGCAUGCGUCCCAUUAGUUAGUUGGUAAGGUAACGGCUUACCAAGACAAUGAUGGGUAGGGGUCCUGAGAGGGAGAUCCCCCCCACUGGUACUGAGACACGGACCAGACUCCUACGGGAGGCAGCAGUGAGGAAUAUUGGACAAUGGGCGCAAGCCUGAUCCAGCCAUGCCGCGUGCAGGAAGACGGUCCUAUGGAUUGUAAACUGCUUUUAUACAGGAAGAAACACUCCGACGUGUCGGAGCUUGACGGUACUGUAGGAAUAAGGAUCGGCUCACUCCGU
This 476-nucleotide ribosomal RNA is filed under the name uncultured bacterium. Its description in RNAcentral is "bacterial SSU rRNA". It matches the Rfam family "Bacterial small subunit ribosomal RNA", at positions 29 to 506 of the family's 1533-position model. The record is from RNAcentral.